Molecule: RNA transcript, 817 nt
Organism: Solanum verrucosum
Lineage: Eukaryota; Viridiplantae; Streptophyta; Magnoliopsida; Solanales; Solanaceae
Exons: 4
Source: RefSeq, a predicted model, not a curated record
AGCAGUGAGAGAAUCAGAGAGAAAGCAUUGAUUCGAAGCAGCGAGCAUAAAGAAAAAUGGUGAACUUCAUGCUGAUGAUCAAGGCGGAGCUUGAUAACAUCACCGACCUUCAGCCAAUGCGGCUGUGAUAAUGAUAACUUCCGUUACUACUUCAAGCUUAAGUGUGGCCAUUGUGGUGAGAUCACCCAAAAAGGAGACUUAUGUGAGGUUGGUUGAAACUGUUCCUCUUCCCUUUGGCAUGGGCCACACCCACCUUGUCCAGAAGUGCAAGUUCUGUAGCAGUGUUGGUACAGUAACCAUGAUCACUGGCCUCGGCCGUCCUCUGACUCAUGCUGAUAGUGAAGCUGGAAAAUGUGCACCUUUGAUGUUAUUUGAUUGCAGGGGUUUUGAGCAGCUGGAUUAUGUUUUCCGAGGAGAAUGGGAAGCUGAAUCUCUUAAGGGAACGAUAUUUGAAGGCAUUGAUUUAUCCGGAGAUGAGUUUGUUGAGUAUGAUGAGAGGGGGGAGGCUCCAGUGAUGACUUCCAGACCAAGUGCCACUUUUAAUAUAGUGAAGUAGAUCCUCCAUUGCUCUAUUGUGUGUUGCUGGUACAUAGAAAGGGAAGUAUAACUGUUUUGCACUGUCAGUGUGUAAGUUGCUAACGGCUGAGGAUGGGAGUGUUAGUUUUCGAUGUACAUUGACACGAACUACUUGCACGAACUUAGAUGGUAACUUCCAUGAAGAAAACCAUUGUUAUGGAUGUCAAUAUUGUCUUUCAGGCUUCUUCAGAAGCUCUUUUUAGAAAUUUAAUGUGAAAGCUUGUAAAACUGUUUGACUGGA